GGGGGUACAGCUCAGUGGUAGAGCACAUGCUUAGCAUGCAGGAGGUCCUGGGUUCACUUCCCAGUACCCCCA
RNAcentral lists this transfer RNA (72 nucleotides) under Camelus bactrianus (Bactrian camel). It matches the Rfam family "tRNA". From Rfam's summary of the family: Transfer RNA (tRNA) molecules are approximately 80 nucleotides in length. Their secondary structure includes four short double-helical elements and three loops (D, anti-codon, and T loops). Lineage: Eukaryota; Metazoa; Chordata; Mammalia; Artiodactyla; Camelidae. RNAcentral also lists the same sequence under 2 other names. The record is from Rfam by way of RNAcentral.